Molecule: unclassified non-coding RNA, 288 nt
Filed under: Podospora sp.
Lineage: Eukaryota; Fungi; Ascomycota; Sordariomycetes; Sordariales; Podosporaceae
Description: partial contains 5.8S ribosomal RNA, internal transcribed spacer 2, and large subunit ribosomal RNA
Rfam family: 5.8S ribosomal RNA (bases 1-71)
Source: RNAcentral
GUGAGUCAUCGAAUCUUUGAACGCACAUUGCGCCCGCCAGUAUUCUGGCGGGCAUGCCUGUUCGAGCGUCAUUUCAACCAUCAAGCCCCUGCGCUUGUGUUGGAGCCCUGCGGCCGCCGCAGGCUCCCAAACCCAGUGGCGGGCUCGUCGUCGUACCGAGUGCAGUAGACCUACCACGCUCAGGGCACGCGACGGGUGACCGGCCGUAAAACCCCCCCCCUUUCUCAAGGUUGACCUCGGAUCAGGUAGGAAUACCCGCUGAACUUAAGCAUAUCAAUAAGCGGAGGA